Molecule: long non-coding RNA, 869 nt
Filed under: Brassica napus (rape)
Lineage: Eukaryota; Viridiplantae; Streptophyta; Magnoliopsida; Brassicales; Brassicaceae
Description: long non-coding RNA (BNAP_LNC022681)
Source: RNAcentral
AAAAUAAAAUGAACAAUGGUGUAAAGAUGUAUGGUGACCGGCGAGUGUUUUACACCUUCGGUACAAAAUUAACAGAGAAAAAGACAAAAAUAGCACUAAAUCAAGUUUUCGUUCCCAAACUAGCACUCAAGGUCAAAAGUCACAAAAAUAGCACUUAAUAUUUUAUCAAAAGUCACAAACUUAGGGUUUAGAGUUAAAGAGUGGGGUUUAGAAUUUAGGGUUUAGGGUUUAGGGUUUAGAGUUUAGGGUUUAGAGUUUAGGGUUUAGGGUUUAGGGUUUAGGGUUUAGGGUUUAGAGUUUAGGGUUGAGAAAUGAGGUUUUGGGGAUAAGAUUUCAAAUUUUGAAAAAUAAAAAAAUUAAAAUUUUCAAUGGAUAAACUUACAAAGAUGCUAUUUGGUCAUUUUAGUUUUUGAGUGCUAUUUUUGUGAUAUAAAAUUAUAAAUGUGUUAUUUUGACGAUUUGCCUAAAUUAAUAUUAAGUAUAUAUAUAUGCAUCUCAAAUUUUUGUGUAAUGAAAUAAAUUUAUAUGUAAACCUUCGUCUACACUUUUUUUGGGUAUUACCUUCGUCUACACUUCUUUCGUUAGGAUCCUAUUUGACAAAAUGUCUAAUCAAUGACGAACUGAUGAUUUCGUUCAUGAUAAAAUAUUUGGGCAUGUUAGAAGUACGAUGAAUGGAAUUAAGCUUAAAUAUAGGUGACCUAGGCAAAAUAUAAUGCAAUAAUUUUUAGACACACUUGAAUGUAAUUCAAAAAAUGUAUACGAAAUCUCAUUGUUUAAUAGAUUAUUACUUUGAUGGAACGAACCUGAUAUGACAUAUAAAUGUAAUAAAUUAUUAUAUAGUAUUGCAUGACUAUCUUUACAAGUUAUCA